ACCUCCGGACUGGGGUUCGCAAGCUUCACGGCGAACGUACCUCGGGAAGUUGGUUAAACCUCACUAUUUAGAGGAAGGUGAAGUCGUAGCAAGGUCUCCGUAGGUGAACCUGCAGAAGGAUC
RNAcentral lists this ribosomal RNA (122 nucleotides) under Aureococcus anophagefferens. RNAcentral describes it as "partial small subunit ribosomal RNA". It matches the Rfam family "Eukaryotic small subunit ribosomal RNA", at positions 1706 to 1827 of the family's 1831-position model. The record is from RNAcentral. Lineage: Eukaryota; Pelagophyceae; Pelagomonadales; Pelagomonadaceae.